GUGCCAGCCGCCGCGGUAAUACGGAGGGUGCAAGCGUUAUCCGGAUUCACUGGGUUUAAAGGGUGCGUAGGCGGGCUUAUAAGUCAGUGGUGAAAGCCCGGAGCUUAACUUCGGAACUGCCAUUGAUACUGUAAGUCUUGAGUACACUUGAGGUGGGCGGAAUACAUCAUGUAGUGGUGAAAUACUUAGAUAUGAUGUAGAACACCGAUUGCGAAGGCAGCUCACUAAAUUGUAACUGACGCUGAGGCACGAAAGCGUGGGGAUCAAACAGGAUUAGAAACCCUCGUAGUCC
This 292-nucleotide ribosomal RNA is filed under the name uncultured bacterium. RNAcentral's name for it is "partial 16S ribosomal RNA". It matches the Rfam family "Bacterial small subunit ribosomal RNA", at positions 505 to 796 of the family's 1533-position model. The record is from RNAcentral.